GAUGAACGCUAGCGACAGGCUUAACACAUGCAAGUCGAGGGGCAGCACAGGUAGCAAUACCGGGUGGCGACCGGCGCACGGGUGAGUAACGCGUAUGCAACUUGCCUAUCAGAGGGGGAUAACCCGGCGAAAGUCGGACUAAUACCGCAUGCAGCAGGGGCCCCGCAUGGGGAUAUUUGCUAAAGAUUCAUCGCUGAUAGAUAGGCAUGCGUUCCAUUAGGCAGUUGGCGGGGUAACGGCCCACCAAACCGACGAUGGAUAGGGGUUCUGAGGGGAAGGUCCCCCACAUUGGUCCUGAGACACGGACCAAACUCCUACGGGAGGCAGCAGUGAGGAAUAUUGGUCAAUGGGCGCGAGCCUGAACCAGCCAAGUCGCGUGAGGGAUGAAGGUUCUAUGGAUCGUAAACCUCUUUUAUAAGGGAAUAAAGUGCGGGACGUGUCCCGUUUUGUAUGUACCUUAUGAAUAAGGAUCGGCUAACUCCGUGCCAGCAGCCGCCGCCG
Molecule: ribosomal RNA, 501 nt
Filed under: uncultured bacterium
Lineage: Bacteria
Description: partial 16S ribosomal RNA
Rfam family: Bacterial small subunit ribosomal RNA
Source: RNAcentral